This 253-nucleotide ribosomal RNA is filed under the name uncultured bacterium. Its description in RNAcentral is "partial 16S ribosomal RNA". It matches the Rfam family "Bacterial small subunit ribosomal RNA", at positions 524 to 776 of the family's 1533-position model. The record is from RNAcentral.
UACGUAGGGUGCGAGCGUUGUCCGGAAUUAUUGGGCGUAAAGGGCUCGUAGGCGGUUUGUCGCGUCGGGAGUGAAAACACUGGGCUUAACUCAGUGCUUGCUUCCGAUACGGGCAGACUAGAGGUAUUCAGGGGAGAACGGAAUUCCUGGUGUAGCGGUGAAAUGCGCAGAUAUCAGGAGGAACACCGGUGGCGAAGGCGGUUCUCUGGGAAUGUCCUGACGCUAAGGAGCGAAAGUGUGGGGAGCGAACAGG